AGACGGGUGAGUAACGCGUGGGAAUCUACCUAGUUCUACGGAACAACAGAGGGAAACUUCUGCUAAUACCGUAUACGCCCUAAGGGGGAAAGAUUUAUCGGAAUUAGAUGAGCCCGCGUAAGAUUAGCUAGUUGGUGGGGUAAUGGCCUACCAAGGCGACGAUCUUUAGCUGGUCUGAGAGGAUGAUCAGCCACACUGGGACUGAGACACGGCCCAGACUCCUACGGGAGGCAGCAGUGGGGAAUAUUGGACAAUGGGCGAAAGCCUGAUCCAGCCAUGCCGCGUGAGUGAUGAAGGCCUUAGGGUUGUAAAGCUCUUUCAGUAGGGAAGAUAAUGACGGUACCUACAGAAGAAGCCCCGGCUAACUUCGUGCCAGCAGCCGCGGUAAUACGAAGGGGGCUAGCGUUGUUCGGAUUUACUGGGCGUAAAGCGCACGUAGGCGGUUUGUUAAGUCAGAGGUGAAAUCCCGGAGCUCAACUCCGGAACUGCCUUUGAUACUGGCAAGCUAGAGUCCGGAAGAGGUAAGUGGAACUCCUAGUGUAGAGGUGGAAUUCGUAGAUAUUAGGAAGAACACCAGUGGCGAAGGCGGCUUACUGGUC
RNAcentral lists this ribosomal RNA (599 nucleotides) under Maribacter stanieri. RNAcentral describes it as "bacterial SSU rRNA". It matches the Rfam family "Bacterial small subunit ribosomal RNA", at positions 100 to 734 of the family's 1533-position model. Lineage: Bacteria; Pseudomonadati; Bacteroidota; Flavobacteriia; Flavobacteriales; Flavobacteriaceae. The record is from RNAcentral.